Molecule: ribosomal RNA, 211 nt
Filed under: Colletotrichum karsti
Lineage: Eukaryota; Fungi; Ascomycota; Sordariomycetes; Glomerellales; Glomerellaceae
Description: partial large subunit ribosomal RNA
Source: RNAcentral
AAGCGCUUAUGACCAGACUUGCGCCCGGUGAAUCACCCAGCUCUCGCGGCUGGGGCACUUUGCCGGCUCAGGCCAGCAUCAGCUCGCUGUCGGGGACAAAAGCUUCGGGAACGUAGCUCUCUUCGGGGAGUGUUAUAGCCCGUUGCACAAUACCCUUCGGCGGGCUGAGGUACGCGCUCCGCAAGGAUGCUGGCGUAAUGGUCAUCAGCGA